CCUACGGGCUGCACCAGUAGGGAAUUUUCCGCAAUGGGCGAAAGCCUGACGGAGCAAUGCCGCGUGGAGGCAGAAGGCCCACGGGUCGUGAACUUCUUUUCCCGGAGAAGAAGCAAUGACGGUAUCCGGGGAAUAAGCAUCGGCUAACUCUGUGCCAGCAGCCGCGGUAAUACAGAGGAUGCAAGCGUUAUCCGGAAUAAUUGGGCGUAAAGCGUCUGUAGGUGGCUUUUUAAGUCCGCCGUCAAAUCCCAGGGCUCAACCCUGGACAGGCGGUGGAAACUACCAAGCUGGAGUACGGUAGGGGCAGAGGGAAUUUCCGGUGGAGCGGUGAAAUGCGUAGAGAUCGGAAAGAGCACCAACGGCGAAAGCACUCUGCUGGGCCGACACUGACACUGAGAGACGAAAGCUAGGGGAGCGAAUGGGAUUAGAUACCCCCGUAGUC
This 442-nucleotide ribosomal RNA is filed under the name uncultured bacterium. RNAcentral's name for it is "bacterial SSU rRNA". It matches the Rfam family "Bacterial small subunit ribosomal RNA", at positions 338 to 795 of the family's 1533-position model. The record is from RNAcentral.